This is a non-coding RNA of Acanthosepion pharaonis, 113 nucleotides long. NCBI's taxonomy places the organism in Eukaryota, Metazoa, Mollusca, Cephalopoda, Sepiida, Sepiidae. The record is from the annotation of a GenBank genome assembly.
UUCGGCCAAAUCACGUUGAAAUACCGGUUGUUGUGUGAUCACCGAAGUUAAGCAACGUCGAGUUUGAUCGGUACCUAGAUAGGUGACCGCUUGGGAAUAGCAAGCGCUGUAAG